GACGAACGCUGGCGGCGUGCUUAACACAUGCAAGUCGAACGGUGAAGCGCCUUCCUUUUUGGUGGGUGUGGAUGAGUGGCGAACGGGUGAGUAACACGUGAGUAACCUGCCCCUUCUUCUGGAUAACCGCAUGAAAGUGUGGCUAAUACGGGAUAUUCUGGGUCUGUCGCAUGAUGGGUCUGGGAAAGAUAUUGUUUCGGUGGGGGAUGGGCUCGCGGCCUAUCAGCUUGUUGGUGGGGUGAUGGCCUACCAAGGCGGUGACGGGUAGCCGGCCUGAGAGGGUGGACGGUCACACUGGGACUGAGACACGGCCCAGACUCCUACGAGAGGCAGCAGUGGGGAAUAUUGCACAAUGGGCGCAAGCCUGAUGCAGCGACGCCGCGUGAGGGAUGGAGGCCUUCGGGUUGUGAACCUCUUUCGCCAGUGAAGCAGGCCUGCCUCGUUUGUGGGUGGGUUGACGGUAGCUGGAUAAGAAGCGCCGGCUAACUACGUG
RNAcentral lists this ribosomal RNA (493 nucleotides) under uncultured bacterium. Its description in RNAcentral is "partial 16S ribosomal RNA". It matches the Rfam family "Bacterial small subunit ribosomal RNA", at positions 28 to 507 of the family's 1533-position model. The record is from RNAcentral.